AGAUUCGGGAGACCACUCUUGCUGCCGAUGAUGAAAUUUCAAAAAACAUUGUGGGCCUUGCACGAACCCGUCCUGAUAUUUUUGGCACAACAGAGGAGGAGGUGUCUAACGCAGUUCAGGCUGAAAUUGAGAAAAAGAAAGAUGAGCAACCAAAGCAGGUUAUAUGGGAUGGCCACACUGGAAGCAUUGGGCGCACUGCUAACCAGGCAAUGUCCCAAAGUCUUGGUGACGAUCAAAAUGAGGCUAUGAACAGUGACGGACGAAACUUACCUGGACCAGCUGCUCCUCCUCCCCGUCCUGGUCUACCAUCACUUCGACCGCUUCCUCCACCGCCUGGACUGGCUCUUAAUGUCCCCCGCAUGCCUCCAAAUGCAGUCUCAU
RNAcentral lists this long non-coding RNA (381 nucleotides) under Linum usitatissimum (flax). RNAcentral describes it as "long non-coding RNA (LUSI_LNC007161)". Lineage: Eukaryota; Viridiplantae; Streptophyta; Magnoliopsida; Malpighiales; Linaceae. The record is from RNAcentral.